Molecule: ribosomal RNA, 253 nt
Filed under: uncultured bacterium
Lineage: Bacteria
Description: partial 16S ribosomal RNA
Rfam family: Bacterial small subunit ribosomal RNA
Source: RNAcentral
UACGUAGGUAGCAAGCGUUGUCCGGAAUCAUUGGGCGUAAAGCGCGCGUAGGUGGCCUCAUAAGUCCGCUGUGAAAGUCAAAGGCUCAACCUUUGAAAGCCGGUGGAUACUGUGAGGCUAGAGUACGGAAGAGGCGAGUGGAAUUCCUGGUGUAGCGGUGGAAUGCGCAGAUAUCAGGAGGAACACCAAUAGCGAAGGCAGCUCGCUGGGACGUUACUGACACUGAGGCGCGAAAGCGUGGGGAGCGAACGGG